UGGGCUAGUGAUGCCAACCAUCAGUGAAUGAUUUGCAAAUGAUGAAUGAGUCUCGAACUCUGAGGUCUAA
This is a small nucleolar RNA of Acomys russatus (golden spiny mouse), 70 nucleotides long. RefSeq annotates it as small nucleolar RNA SNORD113/SNORD114 family. NCBI's taxonomy places the organism in Eukaryota, Metazoa, Chordata, Mammalia, Rodentia, Muridae. The transcript has a single exon. The record is from RefSeq and is a predicted model, not a curated record.